GACGAACGCUGGCGGCGUGCUUAACACAUGCAAGUCGAACGGAAAGGCCCUGCUUUUGUGGGGUGCUCGAGUGGCGAACGGGUGAGUAACACGUGAGUAACCUGCCCUUGACUUUGGGAUAACUUCAGGAAACUGGGGCUAAUACCGGAUAGGAGCUCCUGCUGCAUGGUGGGGGGUGGAAAGUUUCGGCGGUUAGGGAUGGACUCGCGGCUUAUCAGCUUGUUGGUGGGGUAGUGGCUUACCAAGGCUUUGACGGGUAGCCGGCCUGAGAGGGUGACCGGCCACAUUGGGACUGAGGGACGGCCCAGACUCCAACGGGAGGCAGCAGUGGGGAAUAUUGCACAAUGGGGGGAAGCCUAAUGCAGCAACGCCGCGUGCGGGAUGACGGCCUUCGGGUUGUAAACCGCUUACGCCUGUGACGAAGCGUGAGUGACGGUAAUGGGUAAAGAAGCACCGGCUAACUACGUG
Molecule: ribosomal RNA, 468 nt
Filed under: uncultured bacterium
Lineage: Bacteria
Description: partial 16S ribosomal RNA
Rfam family: Bacterial small subunit ribosomal RNA
Source: RNAcentral